This 414-nucleotide ribosomal RNA is filed under the name uncultured bacterium. RNAcentral's name for it is "partial 16S ribosomal RNA". The record is from RNAcentral.
GGAGUUAGCCGGUGCUUCUUCUGUGAGUGAUGUCCUUCCUGCCGGCUAUUAACCCGCAGGCCUUCUUCCUCACUGAAAGUGCUUUACAACCCGAAGGCCUUCUUCACACACGCGGCAUGGCUGGAUCAGGGUUGCCCCCAUUGUCCAAUAUUCCCCACUGCUGCCUCCCGUAGGAGUCUGGGCCGUGUCUCAGUCCCAGUGUGGCUGAUCAUCCUCUCAGACCAGCUACGGAUCGUCGCCUUGGUGAGCCGUUACCUCACCAACCAGCUAAUCCGACAUAGGCUCAUCCGAUAGCGCGAGGCCCGAAGGUCCCCCGCUUUCCCCCGUAGGGCGUAUGCGGUAUUAGCCUGGGUUUCCCCAGGUUAUCCCCCACUACCGGGCAGAUUCCUAUGCAUUACUCACCCGUCCGCCGUC